This 637-nucleotide ribosomal RNA is filed under the name uncultured Bacillota bacterium. Its description in RNAcentral is "bacterial SSU rRNA". It matches the Rfam family "Bacterial small subunit ribosomal RNA", at positions 1 to 653 of the family's 1533-position model. Lineage: Bacteria; Bacillati; Bacillota. The record is from RNAcentral.
GGAUCCAGACUUUGAUUAUGGCUCAGGACGAACGCUGGCGGCACGCUUAACACAUGCAAGUCGAACGAGAGAAGAGAAGCUUGCUUUUCUGAUCUAGUGGCGGACGGGUGAGUAACACGUGAGCAAUCUGCCUUUCAGAGGGGGAUACCGAUUGGAAACGAUCGUUAAUACCGCAUAAUAUAAUUGAACCGCAUGAUUUGAUUAUCAAAGACUUAUCGCUGAAAGAUGAGCUCGCGUCUGAUUAGCUAGUUGGUAAGGUAACGGCUUACCAAGGCGACGAUCAGUAGCCGGACUGAGAGGUUGAUCGGCCACAUUGGGACUGAGACACGGCCCAGACUCCUACGGGAGGCAGCAGUGGGGAAUAUUGCACAAUGGAGGAAACUCUGAUGCAGCGAUGCCGCGUGAGGGAAGAAGGUUUUAGGAUUGUAAACCUCUGUCUUCAGGGACGAAAAAAGACGGUACCUGAGGAGGAAGCUCCGGCUAACUACGUGCCAGCAGCCGCGGUAAUACGUAGGGAGCGAGCGUUGUCCGGAAUUACUGGGUGUAAAGGGAGCGUAGGCGGGAUCGCAAGUCAGAUGUGAAAACUAUGGGCUUAACCCAUAAACUGCAUUUGAAACUGUGGUUCUUGAGUGAAGUA